RNAcentral lists this ribosomal RNA (406 nucleotides) under uncultured bacterium. Its description in RNAcentral is "bacterial SSU rRNA". It matches the Rfam family "Bacterial small subunit ribosomal RNA", at positions 358 to 773 of the family's 1533-position model. The record is from RNAcentral.
GGAAUUUUUGGCAAUGGGCGAAAGCCUGACCAAGCAACGCCGCGUGGGUGAUGAAGUAUCUCGGUACGUAAAACCCUUUCGACGGGGACGAAACCGCACGGUUGACGGUACCCGUAGAAGCAGCCCCGGCUAACUCCGUGCCCGCCGCCGCGGUAAUACGGGGGGGGCAAGCGUUGUUCGGAAUUACUGGGCGUAAAGGGCGCGUAGGCGGCUUAUUAAGUCGGAUGUGAAAACUCUGGGCUCAACCCAGAGCCUGCAUUCGAAACUGAUGGGCUAGAGUUCUGGAGGGGAAAGCGGAAUUCCUGGUGUAGCGGUGAAAUGCGUAGAUAUCAGGAGGAACACCGGUGGCGAAGGCGGCUUUCUGGACAGAAACUGACGCUGAGGCGCGAAAGCUAGGGGAGCAAAC